UCCUCUAGAGGGCUACAUGUACAUUUUGUUAUUUUCUAACAGAAAAAAAUUUGUUUUUUUCUUCCAGGGGACUGCAGAUUGAAUCUUUUACUUUGAUACUCGUUGAUUCUUGCUCUCCAAUAGGACUAUUUCAGAGUUGGGGACCGAUUGAUUCUUGGAAUAUUAAGAAAGUGGUCACAAACCCAACAAGAUGAUGAUAUACCACAAGCAAUUCGCAUCACAUGGAAGACAGAUGAUCUUUAAAGCAUCUUGGCUACUACAAUGCUUUUAAAUGAUUUGUCACAUGAUCUGUACAACCUAGCAAGAAAAUAAAUGAAAACAUAGGGCUAGGGCUUCGGCAGCAGGGCAGUGGCAGAAGGUAGUGGUAAGCAUGGCCUAUAUUUAUGAUCAGACGCCCUUGACCAUGGAAAACCCAGCAAGAGUUCUUCUUCGAGGUUCUUAGAAUGUGUCAAGGUUGAUGAUGAAGACCAGGUACGUUACAGCUAAGUUUUAUGUGCAAAAUACGUGUGCACAUGUAACCUCUCAAAC
RNAcentral lists this long non-coding RNA (528 nucleotides) under Populus trichocarpa (black cottonwood). Its description in RNAcentral is "long non-coding RNA (PTRI_LNC002976)". Lineage: Eukaryota; Viridiplantae; Streptophyta; Magnoliopsida; Malpighiales; Salicaceae. The record is from RNAcentral.